UGAUGCUCCGGAGAAGCAACUUGCAUCCCAGCCACGAGUGCCCUUGAAUAAUCCUUCCUUCCUGCCGUCUGGAAGUCUGAGCUUACCAAGUUGCAGUAGCAUCGGUUCUCAACAACCACCACGCUUGAAGGAGAAUAAGGGACUGCAUGGUAAGGUAAACUCCUAGAGUCAAAGUAACUGUUAGCAGUUGGAAGUAUUAUAAUUAACGGUGAUAAUGUGCAGCUUUUUCCAACAAUAAACUACCUCUGGUGUUGUUGUACUUUAGCUUUUGUAAUCCAGUACUGAAUACAAUUUGAACUGUUGUAAGACAGUCUUUCACCGAUGGUAGUUUGGUCAGAAGAUGUGGGGGCGAGAACUGUGAGAAAAGUUUUCACAAAUGUGAAGAGGUGUUGUACUUUCUUCCCUUUUCACAGCAAUGAAUAGAAAAUGUUCUUUUUGUUCUUACCCUCUUUAAGGCAUCAAGGAUCCAAAAGAUUUCUUUUCCCUAUGUGUAGUGACCAGAUAAUUCAUCAUUUCACUGAAAGCAUUUUGAAGUAUCGGGUAUUCUUGUUGUAAUUUAUAUAAAAGUCUUUGUAUUUUUUGGUAUUUUUACACACAAUUGUACAGCCAAGGAAUAAGCUUGUUAUUUAUUAUUUUGAGGUUAAUGAGAACACGUUAUACAAUUGUUUAACAAGUUAUGACUUAUGAGACCUGGUUUAGGAAUCCUAGUUUCUUCUUUUGUUUAACGUUCAUGAGGUGAAACUAGAAAGCUUUUGAAA
RNAcentral lists this unclassified non-coding RNA (758 nucleotides) under Hevea brasiliensis (rubber tree). The record is from RNAcentral. Lineage: Eukaryota; Viridiplantae; Streptophyta; Magnoliopsida; Malpighiales; Euphorbiaceae.